GACGAACGCUGGCGGCGUGCUUAACACAUGCAAGUCGAACGAUGAUGCUGGAGCUUGCUCCAGUUGAUUAGUGGCGAACGGGUGAGUAACACGUGAGCAAUCUGCCCUUGACUCUGGGAUAACUGCGGGAAACUGUAGCUAAUACCGGAUACUUUCACCGGAAGGCAUCUUCUGGUGAUGACAGAAUUUCGGUCAGGGAUGAGCUCGCGGCCUAUCAGCUUGUUGGUGAGGUAACGGCUCACCAAGGCGACGACGGGUAACCGGCCUGGGAGGGUGACCGGUCACACUGGGACUGGGACACGGCCCAGACUCCUACGGGAGGCAGCAGUGGGGAAUACUGCACGAUGGGCGCAAGCCUGAUGCAGCAACGCCGCGUGAGGGACGAAGGCCUUCGGGUUGUAAACCUCUUUUAGCAGGGAAGAAGCGAAAGUGACGGUACCUGCAGAAAAAGCACCGGCUAACUACGUGCCAGCAGCCGCCGUAA
Molecule: ribosomal RNA, 484 nt
Filed under: uncultured bacterium
Lineage: Bacteria
Description: partial 16S ribosomal RNA
Rfam family: Bacterial small subunit ribosomal RNA
Source: RNAcentral